AACACUGUUUGAAUCAGAACACUCACAGCCCAAGACCAUGACAGGCUGAGACAGCACAGACAAGGGCACUGUGGCAUUAGGAAGAACUGUGAUGGGUCAUAAUCCAGUCUGGAUAUUGUAAAUGAUUUUGCAUACAGGAACCCAGUUCCAGCCUACCCCAGUCUCUCUUUCCUCUGUGUGGCAAACUGGGCAGCCUCCAUCUUUCUCUUCUUAUCCCAGGAGAAGAAAACAGGAUUUUUCUACACAGCCUGUUUUGCUUACCAUUUGUGAUUCUGGCUUACUACUGUGGACUGGAGGCUAUGAUCUGUGUUCAAGAAGAGAGCUGGCCUAAAGCAACUGC
Long non-coding RNA from Serinus canaria (Common canary), 340 nucleotides. RefSeq lists it as uncharacterized. The record is from RefSeq and is a predicted model, not a curated record. The transcript has 3 exons. Lineage: Eukaryota; Metazoa; Chordata; Aves; Passeriformes; Fringillidae.